Molecule: non-coding RNA, 68 nt
Organism: Massospora cicadina
Lineage: Eukaryota; Fungi; Entomophthoromycota; Entomophthoromycetes; Entomophthorales; Entomophthoraceae
Source: the annotation of a GenBank genome assembly
GUUUGCUCAGUUGGUAGAGCAUGGUACUUUUAAUUUCAGGGUCAUGGGUUCAAGCCUCAUAUGAAGCU